AUGAAGGGUGUGUCUGUUAUUAUUCAAACGAAGAUGGUGCUGUUCGAAGGGCUUAAAUUAGCACAAGGUACUGGAUGCAACAAUCUCCUAGUACGUAUGGACAAUCUGAUAGUGGUGGAAGCAUUGCAAAAUAAUGAAGGACACUCAACGGUGGCGGCCCCUAUCAUUCAAGAUUGUCGAGAGUUGAUGAUAGAGUUCGGGAAGUCUGUCAUAGAACAUUGUAUUGGAGAGUCUAAUAUAGUUCUGCAGGAGCUAGCUCAUUAUGGUUGUGCUAACAAUCCUACUCUUUGGGUGGUAACACUGCCUGAUUUUCUGUUAAGGUUUUUAGCGGAUGAUGUAAGCGUUAUAGGAGUUUAA
RNAcentral lists this ribosomal RNA (357 nucleotides) under Triticum aestivum (bread wheat). RNAcentral describes it as "partial small subunit ribosomal RNA". Lineage: Eukaryota; Viridiplantae; Streptophyta; Magnoliopsida; Poales; Poaceae. The record is from RNAcentral.